Corchorus olitorius is the source of this 77-nucleotide non-coding RNA. NCBI's taxonomy places the organism in Eukaryota, Viridiplantae, Streptophyta, Magnoliopsida, Malvales, Malvaceae. The record is from Rfam.
GCACCCUAUGAAGAAUAAUUCUUGAAAUUAAAAGUAGUGGACUGACCAUUAUUGAUGAGUAAUGAAUCUGAGGAUGC